GGCAGGCUCAUUGGUUGGUUUGGGAUACACUGAACAUUUCCCCAUAGAUGUGUCGAUCAUCCUAUGAUGAAUUUGGCAACACGAUACUGUAAAUGAGGGUUCUGGGCCUCCUGGGGAUUUCAAGCCCAGGUAAUUUCUCUGUCGUUCUGGAAACCUAACCCUCUUGCAGCCACGGGGAGGCUCAGUUGGACAAAUGCUCCCAGGACCCAGGCUCGUGGUCUGAAGUAAAUGAAAACAGAUGGCGUGCCUGUGCGACACAGCUAACUGACCGCCGCACAGAAAGUUCUGUUGGCUAGAUGUGUGGGGCUGUCUUGGCCUUGGAAACAUUCUGCUAAGUGAACUAAACUUCAGAAUGGGGCGCCUGCUCCCCAGACUGUCUUGGAGGGGCUUGUGGGUGACAGCUUGGCUGGAUGAACCUGCCUUUAGGGGGCUGCUUCUUGUGCUUUGCCUGCAGGGGAGAGAGAGAGUCAAGUGGAGGAACCCACCUCCACACCCCAAUUCUUCCCAGAGGAGUGUGGGUGCUGGGUGCGCAUGUAUGUAGGUGUAUAUGCAUGCCUGUGUGCGUAGAUAGGAUUAUCUAUGUUUUGGGGCUCGGCCCCCAAAUUCCUUUUACUUUUCAAUGAAUUUGAAGGCGGUAACAUCUGGAAGACAAGUAUGCGUCAGUGUUCCAGCAGAGUACCAGUCAAGCAUGCUGAUUCUCACCAGAUGAACCCAUUCUGCUGAUUUCUUCGUCUUGGCCCUGAUGGUCAGCCUGGGAUCUUUGGGCAUCAGAAUUUUCUGCUCUCUCUCUCUCUCCCUCUCCCUCUGGUAAGCCCAAUAAAUCUGCCCCAAUCACGUCACACGGAAAUGUGAUCCUGCCAAGCGUGGAAGCCCACAUGAACUGCCAAAAUCUUAAGGUUCCAGUGAGAGUGAGAACGAGUUUCUGGUGAUGCCCAUGUGUAUGGGGCCUGCGUGUGCAUGUCUGCUGUGUGUGCGCAUGGGUGCCAUGUGUCUAUACUAUGUGUGUAUUUGUGUAGCACUAGGCACAUGUGUGGGUGUGCGUGGGAAUUGUGUGUGUAUACGCGCUUGCAUGUGCAUGUCUACCGUGUGGGCGACACAAGAAUGUCACUGAUCCCCGGUGGCAGGGAUGGAAGGAGGCUGGUGUGUGUGGCCCUGCUUGGGGACAGGUCCAUCUCUUCGGUCCGAAGUGCUUUUCUUCUGGUUUGCUGCCCUCUCCCCCAUCAGCAACAGGCACUAAGGUUGCAGACCCUUCGAGACACGUAAAGUGUCUGUGAUGUUUCUCUUUCCUGCCUGCCUCUCAAGUGAGUUCUUUAAGCUUCUGCAGGAAGUCACCUGCACAAGAUGGGCGCUCCUUCUGCCCCACUGUACUUCUGCUACGUCUGGUCGAAACACCUCUAUAAAGACUCCUGCUUACACUCAACAGGUGUUGGAACCCUCCCGAAUUCGAGAGAGAAAUCUGGAAUCAGAGAAGGAAGACCAGGCCCGUCCGGGUUAUUUAUGUGUCUCUGGAUCGCCUUUGUUCUGCAGAGCGGUGCGCAUGAAAGGCUGGCCGGGCCGGAGGAGUGCCUCGCACAGGGAGACUUGCACAGGAAAUUGGAAAUUGGAAACCGAGGGUCGGCCCCCACUCCGCCUCUGACUCAUGCUUAAACAAACCUAACAGCCGCUCUGACCUUUGCUCCCUCCAUCUGGGGCAGGCCGGACCUGCCUGCAGCCCACUAGCCCCACCAGGCCGAAGGCUCGCGAAAGCCCAGCCUUUGGGCAGCUUCCUGUGGGAGAAAAUCCUUCAGGUUCCAACAAAUGCCGUGGAUGCGGCCCAUGAUUUUUUUUUUUUCAUGUGUGUGUCUUUGACAAAGCGAAUCCUUAAUUUUUUUUUGUCUUUAAAUUUUCAUCCAUUAUAUUCAUCAAUGCAGAGAGAUGGAACAUUUGGCAGAAUUAUUUUAAGUAGCACUCCAACCUGUGAUCAUAAUUUUAAAUGAAGGAAUUUGCUGAGCAGCUGGGGGAAGAACAAAGGGCUGGAGAGUGAUUUAGGGCCUGGGGGAGGGGAGGCUGCAGGCCCGUAGCAGAAGCAGCUGGGGCAGGGGCAGGGUGUGUACCCACUGAGGGGCAGCCGGCCUUCUCAGCCCGGUGGUCCCUCUACACGGGGCCACACUGCAGUUUCCAUCUGCUGAACACACCAAAUGUGACACUUAAAAAUAUAUCCACAGAACAGAGGAUUGAGAUUCAAUUUAAAACGAUGGCUGAGAACUUCUGCUCAGGAGUGGAACAGACCUGGCCUUGAAUCCUGGCUCUACCACUCACCAGCCUCAGUUGAAUCAUCAGUAAAAUGGGAACAAUCACAGCAGUAGCAUCUUGGGGAUCUGAUGCAGUCACUAGCCGAUAGCAAGUUCUGCUGGUCUAGUUACUAGCACAGAGGAAGCGUUCAAAAUUUUAUUAUUCUUGCCAAUAUGCAGAAGUGGACUGAUUCUCUGCUGUGUCUUUGCAACGGAUUCAUUCAACCAGCAUUUAUGUUUCAGGAACAGGGCUGGUUGUUGCAGGGAAGCAAAUAUGUAAAAGCAUAGGAGUUUCAGCUAUUAGAUAAA
Molecule: non-coding RNA, 2579 nt
Organism: Vicugna pacos (alpaca)
Lineage: Eukaryota; Metazoa; Chordata; Mammalia; Artiodactyla; Camelidae
Source: RefSeq, a predicted model, not a curated record